Molecule: non-coding RNA, 94 nt
Organism: Trametes punicea
Lineage: Eukaryota; Fungi; Basidiomycota; Agaricomycetes; Polyporales; Polyporaceae
Source: the annotation of a GenBank genome assembly
GGUGAGAUGGCCGAGCGGUCUAAGGCGCCAGACUAAGGCACUGAGGGUCGGAAUCUGGUCCGAAAGGGCGUGGGUUCGAAUCCCACUCUCAUCA